This 895-nucleotide long non-coding RNA is filed under the name Triticum aestivum (bread wheat). Its description in RNAcentral is "long non-coding RNA (TAES_LNC019931)". The record is from RNAcentral. Lineage: Eukaryota; Viridiplantae; Streptophyta; Magnoliopsida; Poales; Poaceae.
AAAGACAAAUUUCCGCCGAUUCAGCUGGAAGCGGGUCAAAUUUGAACUAUAGCUGCCUUGUAGUUUGCUCUUUAUUUUUUCCAAAAAUCAUUUCUAGGUACAUAAGUAUCUAUUUAAUCGGAGAAACACCAAAAACAUUUCAAGAUUCAACCACUAGCUACGAACGGUCAUUCCCGCCGUUUUGACCGCAUUUUGAAACGGGCAUAAAAAAUUCAAAAAAAUCAAAAAAUUAGGAAACCUUCGCAUUGUGUCAUUAUAUGUGGCCAAGUUCCCAGUAAAAAUAACAAACUUGUAAUACGGCAAUUAUUUUAAAAAAGUGUUCUCAGAAACGAGCUAUCACGUAUGGAGAUCAAUGGCUUUCAAGCCAAAUGACCAAUUUUAUGGCCACAUUCAUGGCAUAGUUUGUUCAAAUGAUCUUAUAUUGUGCACAAGGGUGCAUAUUGGAAUGGCAAACAAUGUUGCCUAAGGAAGUUUUCAUUUUCUUUGGAUGAAAAAACCAUUUUCCAUUUUUCGAGUGCCCAAAAGGAGGUUUUUUUGUGAAGGACCUCCCAAAUAUUUGUUGCAAAAUUGGACCAAAUCAUUUUUCUAAAAUACUAGGACAUAUUUAAUGCACAAUUGACCAAAUGUUUGGGUGUAAAAAGUUUUGAUCCACCCCUCGUGAAAAAGACAAAUUUCCGCUGAUUUAGUUGGAAGCGGGUCAAAUUUGAACUAUAGCUGCCUUGUAGUUUGCUCUUUAUUUUUUCCAAAAAUCAUUUCUAGGUACUUAAGUAUCUAUUUAAUCAGAGAAACACCAAAAAAAUUCCAAGAUUCAACCACUAGCUAGGAACGGUCAUUCCCGCCGUUUUGACCGCAUUUUGAAACGGGCAUAAAAAGUUCAAAAAAAAAUCAAAAAAUU